RNAcentral lists this ribosomal RNA (495 nucleotides) under uncultured bacterium. RNAcentral describes it as "partial 16S ribosomal RNA". It matches the Rfam family "Bacterial small subunit ribosomal RNA", at positions 28 to 507 of the family's 1533-position model. The record is from RNAcentral.
GACGAACGCUGGCGGCGUGCCUAAUACAUGCAAGUAGAACGCUGAAGGAGGAGCUUGCUUCUCUGGAUGAGUUGCGAACGGGUGAGUAACGCGUAGGUAACCUGCCUGGUAGCGGGGGAUAACUAUUGGAAACGAUAGCUAAUACCGCAUAAUAGUAGAUGUUGCAUGACAUUUGUUUAAAAGGUGCAAUUGCAUCACUACCAGAUGGACCUGCGUUGUAUUAGCUAGUUGGUGGGGUAACGGCUCACCAAGGCGACGAUACAUAGCCGACCUGAGAGGGUGAUCGGCCACACUGGGACUGAGACACGGCCCAGACUCCUACGGGAGGCAGCAGUAGGGAAUCUUGGGCAAUGGACGGAAGUCUGACCGAGCAACGCCGCGUGAGUGAAGAAGGUGUUCGGAUCGUAAAGCUCUGUUGUAAGAGAAGAACGAGUGUGAGAGUGGAAAGUUCACACUGUGACGGUAUCUGACCAGAAAGGGACGGCUAACUACGUG